AUCCAGCUGACGAGUCCCGAAAACAGGACGAAACGCGCGUCCUGGAU
Schistosoma mansoni is the source of this 47-nucleotide non-coding RNA. NCBI's taxonomy places the organism in Eukaryota, Metazoa, Platyhelminthes, Trematoda, Strigeidida, Schistosomatidae. The record is from Rfam.